RNAcentral lists this ribosomal RNA (253 nucleotides) under uncultured bacterium. RNAcentral's name for it is "partial 16S ribosomal RNA". It matches the Rfam family "Bacterial small subunit ribosomal RNA", at positions 524 to 776 of the family's 1533-position model. The record is from RNAcentral.
GACGUAGGGCGCGAGCGUUGUCCGGAUUUACUGGGCGUAAAGAGCGUGUAGGCGGCCAUACAGGUCCGUUGUGAAAACUGGAGGCUCAACUUCCAGACGUCGACGGAAACCGUGUGGCUAGAGUCCGGAAGAGGAGAGUGGAAUUCCUGGUGUAGCGGUGAAAUGCGCAGAUAUCAGGAAGAACACCAAUGGCGAAGGCAGCUCUCUGGGACGGUACUGACGCUGAGACGCGAAAGCGUGGGGAGCGAACAGG